This 1084-nucleotide long non-coding RNA is filed under the name Astyanax mexicanus (Mexican tetra). Its description in RNAcentral is "lncRNA (ENSAMXG00005000534.1)". The record is from RNAcentral. Lineage: Eukaryota; Metazoa; Chordata; Actinopteri; Characiformes; Acestrorhamphidae.
AAAAAAUAUAAUAUCUGAGAAACAACUUAACCUACCCAGAACUUAAGGUUCUGUUGCAUGGGGACAGACAGGACCAGGAUGUCCCUUCUUUAAUUCCUGCAAUGAUGGGACGUCUGAGGUUUUGUUCUAAAGCAAGGUCUUCUGGAGGAGUGAGGGCUGCUAAAGGAGGCCCACCACCAGUAGCAGUAACAGCUGUUUUCUUUCUGGUUGCUAAAAUAUUUCAUGCCGUUAAUUUAUAUCAUAAUACACACUAAAAUAUGUAAUUUAACAUUUUCCUGCACAUUAGACUAACCAAUUGGAAUUACCAUUCUGGUAUAUUUUUAUAUUUAACCUUGACCUGCUGCCAUGUUCUUUUUAUUAAGACCACAUGUCCCUUCUUAUAAUAGUAAAUUAAAACACAUUUUACGUUUGUCAUUUGUAAAUAUAAGCCUUUAUAUUUUCAUUUCAUUCAUUGCUCUUUUUUAUAUGUGCUAUUAUUAGCUUAGCUCAGCAAAUAUUUUAAAUUAAUAAAUAGUAACACACAUAUGCUCCUCUGCUGUCUUUAAAUGCACUUUUGAAAUGUCUGUGUGAGUUUAUAAACACUAUGAUUGUUGAUGCAAAGGGACCAAAUAAAUCUUGUCUAAGGCAUCACACUGGGCCGGCUCAAAAACACACUUCCUGAUUGUUCUCGUAUAUAUAAAUUUGUUACAGUUCCUUCUGUCAGGGAGUUCGAGGUGGUGGUGUGCUGUGAAGAUAAUAAAAUGGACCAUGUCUAUGGAAAUGAUGAUUUGGAGCUCUCCUCAACUGAUGGAAAAAACAGAGGUCCCAGUUCACCCGUUACAGACAUAUCUGGACGGAAAAGAUGCUCAUUCAGAGAGAGGGAUUCUCAUCUUUCUCCAAAAACCCUGAAGGUUCUUUUGGUUGUUCUCGGCUUCCUCCUGCUCUGUGCUUUGGUGGCGCUCUGUGUUCUGGGGGUCCUGUGUGAGUAUCACUCGGCUUCAGUCUCCAAUGCAUUUGCAGUGGUCCUGAAGAUCUACUCAACUUCUGUUGUUCUCUUUUAACAGAUUUCAAUAAAGGAGUCUCAUCUGAAUUAUGUGUCGGUGCU